RNAcentral lists this ribosomal RNA (254 nucleotides) under uncultured bacterium. Its description in RNAcentral is "partial 16S ribosomal RNA". It matches the Rfam family "Bacterial small subunit ribosomal RNA", at positions 524 to 776 of the family's 1533-position model. The record is from RNAcentral.
UACGUAGGUGGCAAGCGUUGUCCGGAUUUACUGGGCGUAAAGAGCGCGCAGGCGGUCGUUCAAGUCGCGUGUGAAAGCCCCCCGGCUCAACUGGGGAGGGUCACGCGAUACUGAUCGACUGGAAGGCAGGAGAGGGUAGUGGAAUUCCCGGUGUAGUGGUGAAAUGCGUAGAUAUCGGGAGGAACACCAGUGGCGAAGGCGACUACCUGGCCUGUUCUUGACGCUGAGGCGCGAAAGCUAGGGGAGCAAACAGG